This 439-nucleotide ribosomal RNA is filed under the name uncultured bacterium. Its description in RNAcentral is "partial 16S ribosomal RNA". It matches the Rfam family "Bacterial small subunit ribosomal RNA", at positions 339 to 795 of the family's 1533-position model. The record is from RNAcentral.
CUACGGGAUGCAGCAGUGGGGAAUAUUGGACAAUGGGCGAAAGCCUGAUCCAGCAAUGCCGCGUGAGUGAUGAAGGCCUUAGGGUUGUAAAGCUCUUUUACCCGGGAUGAUAAUGACAGUACCGGGAGAAUAAGCUCCGGCUAACUCCGUGCCAGCAGCCGCGGUAAUACGGAGGGAGCUAGCGUUGUUCGGAAUUACUGGGCGUAAAGCGCACGUAGGCGGCUUUGUAAGUUAGAGGUGAAAGCCUGGAGCUCAACUCCAGAAUUGCCUUUAAGACUGCAUCGCUCGAAUCCAGGAGAGGUCAGUGGAAUUCCGAGUGUAGAGGUGAAAUUCGUAGAUAUUCGGAAGAACACCAGUGGCGAAGGCGGCUGACUGGACUGGUAUUGACGCUGAGGUGCGAAAGCGUGGGGAGCAAACAGGAUUAGAUACCCGUGUAGUC